UCGCAUAACCCCUCGUCUCCCUCCCCAGAUCUAAAUCGCGCAGGACCAGGCAUCCCAUCCAGACGGUUAUUGGUCUUCUUGCGUGCGCAGGUGAGCCCUCUCCCUCUCUCCCCUCCUCUGCGUGCUCCCUCCUUUUUUCCGAUCAGGCUGCUGUGCCGUGGCCAUGUCCCAUGCGGCAGGGCGUCUUCAAUCCAUGGCUGCCUCCCCUGCGUGCUCCCUCUGUUUUCCUCGGCCGGCGGCGCGGUGUGGCCAGGCUCGACGUCCCCGGGCGCGGCGUCUCGGCGCGGGUGCGCGCGAGCUCGGCGCAGCCAGCGCGGCAGCCAGCCAGCGCGGCGGCCAGCGUGCAUGGCAGCCAGCACAGCUUGCCCAGCGCGACGCGAUAAGCAGCCGGCAGCCGCGCGGCGGCUCGCCCGUGGGCCCAGGCGUCGGGGCCCCUGCUCCCUCGCGCGAAUAGGCAGCCGGCGCUCUGCUCUUGCCGGUCGACCAGCGCUGCCCCGACGUGGUUAGUCCCCUUGGUCAAGCCCGAUAUCCACGGCAUUUUCUUCUCCAUGGUAGUUUCCUGGAAGGAGAUCGUGCGUUCCAUAGAGAAGAAAAAGAGGAAAACACCCACACGUCAUGGCCCACCAUGGGAUUAUUUGUGGCUAUUAAAAAAUCAAUGACCCUUCAUGUGGCCUCGAUCUAGCCGAUAGAAUCGCGCCACGUUGCCUUAAACCCGCAAAAAAUUAUUUACUCGAUAUCCUUUGCGUUAGAUGUCCGAUUUAUUCCUUCCCGGGUGUAUUAGCUUCGCAAUAAUCUCAUGUGCACGUUAAAAAAAUAUUAUUUUAUCGUAACACAUGUUUUAGUUGAUUAAUUAAUUAUGUGUUUGUUUGAUGGUUAGUGUAAUGGCGAUUCUGUUAAGAUUAUUUUAUAGAUUUAAGUUGCGAUUUUAUAAAUACAUGUUAACGUAAUUAAUACCAACUCAAAUCUUUUGAUUUAAAUACUUGCCUAGUGUAAUCACGAUACAUGUUUAGCAAUUCUCAUAUGUCGCGUCUUUUAUAAUCGGGAUUAUUAUUUAUACAGUAUAAUUUGUGUCAUAAAUUUGUUUUGACUUGUUUCAGUCGCGUUAACUUUGUAACCUCAUCGCCAACCUGCUAGUAACAUUAUUUCGUCGUGAGACAUGUUCUAAUUAAUUAGUUGAUUAUUUAUUUAUCCGAGUUAUUAAUGUAGUAGUUUGCUUAAGCUAAUUUAUAGUUUUAGACACGCUUCAUUUAUAUCUGUUAAUAGGAUUAUAUCUACACAAAUGUUUUUGAAUUAAUAUUUAUUUAGUAUAAACACGAUAUCUGAUAGCGAUUCUCGCGUGUUGCUGCGCGCUGAAUCGCGUGCCUUUCGCGUGUCGCGCUGUUUCGCGUGUUGUCGUGCGUGUCGUCGCGCGUGCUAUUCGCACGCGUUGCCGCGUGCCGUUUUCGCACAUUGUCGCUUGCCGCGCGCUGUCCGCGCGCAAUAUUAAAUCAACGGCUCAGUAAAUACACAUUAACUUUUAUGGUCGUCUGAUUUACUCUAUUCUAAUUGUUUUACCUUCACAAUAAUAUCGUAUACACGUUAAAAAUAUUAUUUUGUCGUACCUCAUGCUUUAGUUAAUUAAUUAAUUAAUUGUUGGCCAUGCUUUAUUAUAAACCGAUAAAUGUAGUGAUUCUCAUGUCAUUGUGCUGUCCGUGGGCGUCGUCGCACCAUCUAUGCGUUGUUCGCGCGUGAUGUUCUUGUGGCGCGCGUGCUGUUCGCGCAAGUCGUUGCGCGUCGUUUACGUGCUGGUUCACGCGUCUUUCGCGCUGGUCGCGCGCACUGUCUCAUGCGUUGUUCACAUGCUACGUCGCGCGUGCCCGCACGUCGUCUGCACGCUGUCGUAUUGUUUCAUGCAUCGUAAAUUCGCUUCGCUUAGAAUCUCUCGUGCUAAUUAUAUUAGUUAUUUGUUUGAUAGCUAUUAGUGUGGUAGAUUUAAUCAAAACUACAUAACGGUUAUAAGUUAUAUUUUACAAUAUCAAAUUAAAUGUCCUAGCUACUACUUGCGUAGCGUAAACGUUAUAACUCCUCGAUCGAAGCUUCGACUGUCGGGUUCCUUUUCCCUCGCGUGACCGUAGUAACGCGCUCUAUUUCGUUCUGCAUAUUUUAUUAUGUUUUAUUUGAAUGAUGUAAUGUUCUUAUGCAUAUACAUAUGUCUGUUUGUUUGUGCCUGUUGGUAUUCGCUGUGUGACGCGAAUAGAUUGCGAUCUGUUCCUGAGCUUCAAGGAAUCGACGGUCAAGCUUCGGCGAUCAAGUGAUAUUCUUCGAGUUCUGCAAAGUUGAGGACCCUGAGCAUCUGUUUGGUGAAGGCAAGUGUCCUCUGACCCAUUAUGUCCCAUUUACUUUAUAAUACACUGUCCCGCAUACUAUGAACAACCUAAGGAUUUACUAGCUUUCUAUUUACCUUGUCCUUGAUUUACCUUUUGGGUUACUAUGGUUAGCUACAUGCUAGCGCUUUACUUUAAUCAAUGAACAUGAUGAGAUACAAUGAUGAUACUAUGAUUUUACUCUGGAUAUGAUGAUAUACUUGUGGCAUUUAGGGGACUCGGGCUGUUUCCCGAGUACCUCUCCGUAAGGACCUGUUCGUUGAGAGACCACCCGGGAUAACAGUGCAACCAUGAGGGUGAAAUGGGGCGCCCUUAGCUAAUUAAUUAGAGGAACUAGAGGUGUAGUUGCUUCGUCGUCGUGCCGUCAAUGGGGUCCAGGCACAGUGCUUGCUCUGCCGAGGCUGGGUGCCGAUGUUCUUUCGUUUUGCUUUUGUUAGUCACCCUCCUGCGGGGAGAGGUACUGUGUUUAUCAAACUGGAGAAACCUAACGGGCGGCUAUGACCUCUAGGGAAUCUUUGUAAAAGCUACGUAGUGAUACCCUGCCGGACCACCUAGGAAGUGAUCAAUGGGGAGUCAUGAUCCUCGGGCAGAACGGGAAUCACGGCUCAUGGGUAAAGUGUGCAACCUCUGCAGAGGGUAAUGAAACUGAUAUAUCAGCCGUGCUCACGGUUAAGAGCGGCCUUGGGAUCCUCUUUGAUUAGAGAUACAAAUGAUCUGAGAUACAAUGGUUCUAUUUAUUAUUUUGGUUCGAUGACGAUAAUGAUGUUCCUCGAGGAGGAAGCUGUUCACGGGUUGGCUAUUACUAAAACUUGGCUUCCACUAAUAAUAAUAACCUGACCAACUAAAAGCAACUGCUUGACCUUAACCCCAAAUAAAGCUAGUCCACUACAGCCAAACGGGACAUUUGCUGAGUACGUUGAUGUGUACUCACCCUUGCUUUCACAAAACACCAGGUUGCCUUUGGUGCAAUCUAUGCUCAGGUAAAGAAGAAGGCGUCGAUGCGAAUCUCCAGGAGUUCCAGGACUUCGACGAGUUCGAGGAUUAGGCUAGCGACCUCCCCCAGUCAGCUGCCUGUGGUGGGUUGUUUACGUUGGCUACGUUUCGUUUCUGUGUACUUUGAUUUAUAUUUUGUAAAUGGCUCUAGUCUGUAAUAUUACUACUUACUCUUUAUUGAAAUUCGAAGCAUUGUGCUAUGAUGAGUCAUUUAUGUAAUCGCUGUGUACGUGAAUUUCUGAUCCUGGCACGUACAUGGUUCGCAUUCGGUUUACCUUCAAAACCGGGUGUGACAAUAUACCUGAUGAUCGGCUCUCUCUAGUCGUCUGGCUCUGGUUGGCUUAGAAUAUUGCAUUCCUCUAUCCGAUCUAGUGAAAUGCUUGGGUGUAGUACUUCUUGG
This 3756-nucleotide long non-coding RNA is filed under the name Zea mays. RNAcentral describes it as "long non-coding RNA (ZMAY_LNC001879)". Lineage: Eukaryota; Viridiplantae; Streptophyta; Magnoliopsida; Poales; Poaceae. The record is from RNAcentral.